GAUGAAGAACGUAUUGAAAUGCGAUAAGUAAUGUGAAUUGCAGAAUUCAGUGAAUCAUCGAAUCUUUGAACGCACAUUGCGCCCGCCAGUAUUCUGGCGGGCAUGCCUGUUCGAGCGUCAUUUCAACCAUCAAGCCCCAGGCUUGUGUUGGAGCCCUGCGGCUGCCGCAGCCUCCCAAAACCAGUGGCGGGCUCGCUAUCACACCGAGUGCAGUAGUUUACUCUUCGCUCAGGGCGUGUGGCGGGUGCUAGCCGUAAAACCCCCAACUUCUCAAGGUUGACCUCGGAUCAGGUAGGAAUACCCGCUGAACUUAAGCAUAUCAAUAAGCGGAGGA
RNAcentral lists this unclassified non-coding RNA (334 nucleotides) under soil metagenome. Its description in RNAcentral is "partial contains 5.8S ribosomal RNA, internal transcribed spacer 2, and large subunit ribosomal RNA". The stretch from base 1 to 120 matches the Rfam family "5.8S ribosomal RNA", at positions 35 to 154 of the family's 154-position model. The record is from RNAcentral.